Long non-coding RNA from Oryza sativa Japonica Group (Japanese rice), 428 nucleotides. RefSeq lists it as uncharacterized. The record is from RefSeq and is a predicted model, not a curated record. NCBI's taxonomy places the organism in Eukaryota, Viridiplantae, Streptophyta, Magnoliopsida, Poales, Poaceae.
CGGUCCGGGACUGGAGUGCUGACAUCCAAUUUGCAGUGGCGGCGAGGAGGAGAGGCGACGGUCAUGGCGCUCGGUGGAGCAGUUGAAUGAAAGUGGUGUCCUCCUGUCAACUGCGUUGGUGCAUGUCAGGUCCAGGGAGGAGUGACGGCAAGGAUGGCUUCAUGGUGGUGACGACGAUAAUGAGGCAAAGCACAGAUUCUGGGGAGACUUGGCACAGCAAGCCAAAGUUUGCGCAUGUUUCAAACGGAAUGUUGAGAAGCAUCGAUUUAAUAGUAAUUUAGUUACUAAGAGACAAUAUGUUGUUGAGCUAUCAGUGUAAUAGUAACUUGGUUACUAUGAGAAACUUUGUGGCAAGAUCAAUAUGUUAUGUGAGAACCAUCGGUGUAAGAGUAAUUUAUUUACUAAGAGAAAUCUCGUGGCGAUACCAA